This 479-nucleotide ribosomal RNA is filed under the name Enterococcus mundtii. RNAcentral describes it as "bacterial SSU rRNA". It matches the Rfam family "Bacterial small subunit ribosomal RNA", at positions 63 to 513 of the family's 1533-position model. The record is from RNAcentral. Lineage: Bacteria; Bacillati; Bacillota; Bacilli; Lactobacillales; Enterococcaceae.
CGAACGCUUCUUUUCCCACCGGAGCUUGCUCCACCGGGAAAAGAGGAGUGGCGAACGGGUGAGUAACACGUGGGUAACCUGCCCAUCAGAAGGGGAUAACACUUGGAAACAGGUGCUAAUACCGUAUAACAAUCGAAACCGCAUGGUUUCGUUUUGAAAGGCGCUUUACGGUGCCGCUGAUGGAUGGACCCGCGGUGCAUUAGCUAGUUGGUGAGGUAACGGCUCACCAAGGCCACGAUGCAUAGCCGACCUGAGAGGGUGAUCGGCCACAUUGGGACUGAGACACGGCCCAAACUCCUACGGGAGGCAGCAGUAGGGAAUCUUCGGCAAUGGACGAAAGUCUGACCGAGCAACGCCGCGUGAGUGAAGAAGGUUUUCGGAUCGUAAAACUCUGUUGUUAGAGAAGAACAAGGGUGAGAGUAACUGUUCACCCCUUGACGGUAUCUAACCAGAAAGCCACGGCUAACUACGUGCCAGCA